AUUAUGAAAACUGGUGCUGUGACAAAGUGAAGAAGAAGAGCUGGUGAACCCAGUGUUUCCAUGGGCAUCCUUGUGGUUCCACUUACCUGUCCAAUCCGUGACUCCCCUUUGAUCCACCAGCACUCCUACCUUUCAGAGGCUGCACUCCUUGGCUGGUGGUCCCCUUCCAUCUUCGAAGCCAGCAGUGGCCGGCCAAGUCUUUCUUAUAUUGCAUCACUCCGACACUCCUCCACUUCCCUCUGCAGUUUAUCAGGAUCCUGUGGAGAUCUCCCCAUCUCAAGCCCCUUUCUGCCUCACAGUCUCUGAGUCGGUCUUUUGCUGGUUGGACUGAGCCUGCAAGACUUCCCAGAAUGGAACUGUGUCCUGGGCUCCAGCACAGACCCAGGCACUUAGAAGGCUCCCAGGAAAUGCUUGUCGAGUGGAAUAGAAGCAAGAAGGAAUUGAAGAGCCCAACCCCCAAAUGGUAACUUGCCCACAUCAUCCAGUAAGUAGCUACUUAGGGCCUGGAACUAAGCCUGGGUGGACUUCACUUAGCACAGUGCCCCCAGCAAGGGGGUGGGAAGGAGAGGUGCUCAGGUCCUGCAGCACAGGCCCCCACGUGAGGAGGUACAGCCCAGGAGGGGAGAGGCUGGCAGAGGAGGUGGGAGAGUUCAUUAGCUGAGACUCUGGGAGAAGGCGGUCAGCCUCCGGUGCCCCAGGGUUCAGGUGACCCAGGCUGAAAGAGCAGUGGAGCUGUCCACAUUGUAGACAUGCCACAGACGGUGGACAGGGACUUGAGUCGGUGUGUGAGCCCAUUCUCCUACCUCCCCUUUCCGACCUCAGAGAGCCAGAGUUAGCCCAUCUGAAUGCUACAUCAAGAUUGAGAAGGGCCAAGACAGAGCAGGGAGCAGAGAGGUAGCGCCAAAGAACUGACACCUCAGGAGCUGGGUGGACAAGGCUGGGUCAAGUCAGAGGCCACUCCUGGGGGAACAUGCUGCCCAGAGGUGGGCUGAACGAAGGACAGACACAUUACUCUGCUCCAGAUUGACGGAGAUUCAGGCCCUGGAUACCAGCCCACUACCUCCUCUCCACACCUGCCAUUAAA
Molecule: non-coding RNA, 1084 nt
Organism: Manis javanica (Malayan pangolin)
Lineage: Eukaryota; Metazoa; Chordata; Mammalia; Pholidota; Manidae
Source: RefSeq, a predicted model, not a curated record